AUUUUCUUAGUAUAAAAAGUAUAAUUAAUUUCCAAUUAAAAGGUUAAAAAAAAUUAAGAAAAUA
This 64-nucleotide transfer RNA is filed under the name Oecleopsis sinicus. Its description in RNAcentral is "tRNA-Gly". RNAcentral also lists the same sequence under 1 other name. Lineage: Eukaryota; Metazoa; Arthropoda; Insecta; Hemiptera; Cixiidae. The record is from RNAcentral.